CGAAAGUUUGGUUAAACUUCCUUCCCUCACCCGUUUGACAUCACUUGAAUCCCUUCGCCUUAAGGGAUGUCGUAGUCUCAAGAAGUUUUCCGGAGAUCCCAAAUAACUUUUAUGAGUUAGAUUUAUCAGAAACCGGAAUAAAAGAAGUACCUGAUUUCAUUGAGCAUCUCGACAGACUUCAUCGGUUGACCUUGACAAACUCAAUGGUAAAAGAUGUAUCAAGCAAUAUUUCAAAGUUGAAAUCCCUUUUUUCUCUACAUCUUAGUGGUUGUCCAAUCGUUAAAUUUCCAACUGUUGAUGUGCCCUCACCAAGCUUGAGCUUUGAAAGCCUUAGGUAUAUGCAGAUGGAUCGUUACAAGACCGUCAAAGUCUCAGAGUCUGCACCAUAUCUGCUCGACUUUAUUGAACAUGACUGCAUAUUAUUACGAAGAGUUUCCUUUGCAGAUCAAAAUUUAUAUCAGUUUGAUUCAUCAGAUGAUGAUUAUAUGUUUUUGAUGCUAUUCUUUAAUUGUUUCAACUUGAAUCAAGAGUCAACUAAUAACAUUGAGGCAAAUGCAUGCUAAAAUUGGAUCCCUAGCUAAGAAAUGGGCAGCGAGAUAUGGCAGGGAAAAACGGCGUGGUAACUUUCAAAGAUUGAUUUGUUGUUUCCCAGGAAACAAAAUUUCAGCAAAU
RNAcentral lists this long non-coding RNA (672 nucleotides) under Gossypium barbadense (sea-island cotton). RNAcentral describes it as "long non-coding RNA (GBAR_LNC022933)". Lineage: Eukaryota; Viridiplantae; Streptophyta; Magnoliopsida; Malvales; Malvaceae. The record is from RNAcentral.